RNAcentral lists this ribosomal RNA (533 nucleotides) under uncultured archaeon. RNAcentral describes it as "bacterial SSU rRNA". It matches the Rfam family "Archaeal small subunit ribosomal RNA", at positions 345 to 879 of the family's 1478-position model. The record is from RNAcentral.
AAACUUUGCAAUGUGCGCAAGCACGACAAGGUUAAUCCGAGUGAUUCCUGCUAAAGGAAUCUUUUGUUAGUUGUAAAACCACUGAUGAAUAAGGGGUGGGCAAGUUCUGGUGUCAGCCGCCGCGGUAAAACCAGCACCUCAAGUGGUCAGGAGGAUUAUUGGGCCUAAAGCAUCCGUAGCCUGCUCUGUAAGUUUUCGGUUAAAUCCAUCUGCUCAACAGAUGGGCCGCCGAAAAAACUGCAAAGCUAGGGAGUGGGAGAGGUAGACGGUACUCGAUAGGAAGGGGUAAAAUCCUUUGAUCUAUUGAUGACCCCCUGUGGCGAAGGCGGUCUACCAGAACACGUUCGACGGUGAGGGAUGAAAGCUGGGGGAGCAAACCGGAUUAGAUACCCGGGUAGUCCCAGCUGUAAACGAUGCAGACUCGGUGAUGCCCUGGCUUGUGGCCAGUGCAGUGCCGCAGGGAAGCCGUUAAGUUUGCCGCCUGGGAAGUACGUACGCAAGUAUGAAACUUAAAGGAAUUGGCGGGGGAGCAC